AACGAACGCUGGCGGCAGGCCUAACACAUGCAAGUCGAGCGCCCAGCAAUGGGAGCGGCGGACGGGUGAGUAACGCGUGGGAAUUUUUCCUGGAGUACGGAACAACCGAGGGAAACUUCGGCUAAUACCGUAUGAUGUCUAGCGACCAAAGAUUUAUCGCUCUGGGGUAAGCCCGCGUCAGAUUAGGUAGUUGGUGGGGUAACGGCCUACCAAGCCUGCGAUCUGUAGCUGGUCUGAGAGGACGAUCAGCCACACUGGGACUGAGACACGGCCCAGACUCCUACGGGAGGCAGCAGUGGGGAAUCUUGCGCAAUGGGCGAAAGCCUGACGCAGCCAUGCCGCGUGAGUGAAGAAGGUCUUAGGAUUGUAAAGCUCUUUCGCUCGUGACGAUGAUGACGGUAACGAGAGAAGAAGCCCCGGCUAACUUCGUGCCAGCAGCC
Molecule: ribosomal RNA, 440 nt
Filed under: uncultured bacterium
Lineage: Bacteria
Description: bacterial SSU rRNA
Rfam family: Bacterial small subunit ribosomal RNA
Source: RNAcentral